This 4325-nucleotide long non-coding RNA is filed under the name Mytilus galloprovincialis (Mediterranean mussel). Lineage: Eukaryota; Metazoa; Mollusca; Bivalvia; Mytilida; Mytilidae. The record is from RNAcentral.
AUUUAUUUACCUUUAACUAUUUUUUUUAAGUACAUAGUAAAGCUCAUAACUACAUUCAUUUCAAAGGAACUAGAUUUACUUCAAGAUCUAAGAUAUACAUAAUCAUUGGACUCAAUUUAUGACGAUCGGAUGCAUCUUUGUUUAUGAUUUUUGAUUAUGUUGUAUUUUUAUUUAUGGUCAUGAUUUUUUUUCACAAUUAUAAUUUUACCAUUGUUACAUAUAUUGUAUUAUUGUUUUCUUGUUUGUCAAACAUGUAGGUAAAGAACCCAAAUAAGAUACAAAUGAACAUUAAAAUCGUUCUCACAUGAGUUAACUCCAUGUCCUCAAUUGCUGAUGUUUUGAUAUCUAUUUGUAAUGUAUUAAUUUGAUUUUUUGAGUUUUACAAUGUGUUAUACUUCUGCAUUUUAAACAGUACUAAGCUUGUCCUUACUUUUAUACAAGACAUCAUCUGUCUUACAUUUUAUAACACAGCUGUAUAUUCCCAAUGAUAACUUAUAAGAUUAAAUUUUAAAUCGUAUAUUUUUAAUACAAGACUUAAAUUGUUCUACAGCUGUGCUUUUUCACAGGCACGAUCCAUUUUACCUCCUUAAGUCUUUGUGAUAGUUUCAGCAUUUUGAAUUUUUCUGUUAUCUAUCUAAUUUGUAAUCUAUUUGUCUUUUUAUCCUACAUUUUAUAUAUUUUUCAUCCGUCCAGAUUUUUAUCUUUCGUACAGUGUGAUAUAUUGCAAUCAGUUUACGUCCUCACAAUUGUAGUGAUAUUUUUUUUUACAAUUUGAUAUUCUAUUAUUUCAUAUGUUUUUUUACAUAAUUAUGCAUGUUAAACAAACUGUGUUUUAUAAAUGUAAAUAAAUAUGCAUAUAUGUACCUUGAUUGCCGUAACAUUGCGUUCCAAAAAAAAAAUGCGUUUUAAAAAGCAAUUACCAUGUGUAUUAAAUGUAUAAAUUUUUCACAUUUUAUACAUUUUAUAUAUUUGACAUUGUUUGUCCCUUUUGCUCUGUGAUUAACUCCGGUUUUAGUAUGACAGAUUUUCAAUAUGCAUUGUGUCUUUUUAGUCCCGGUGAUAUUCUCUCCUUUUUUAUUUUAUUUUUUUUUUUUAUUUUAUAAUUUUAGAUUAUCAUUUAACAUGUUUAAACAAAUGUGUGUUUUGUUUAUCUUUUAAGGUGGUACCUAACACUACAUGGAGAUAACUCUGUAAAAUCAGAUAAAUGUUUUAAUUACGUUGUGUUGUUUAGAGAAUAUUAAGCUUCUCGAUGAUCAAAAUAAGUGUUUGUCGAACUGCUAUAUAACCAGUGUAUUUUUUCUGAUAAAACGGUUGGUUUAAAUUUUUUAAAAUUUUUAUAUUUUUGUCAAAGGGUCAAAGUAAAUACUUCGUCAAAAUUUUAUGAAAAUUAAACGAGCCAAAUUAAUUUUAGUUAAGGUGUUGGGUACCACCUUAAAUAGUGUUUUAUUUGUUUUUAUGUGUAUGUUUUAUUCGCCUUUUCACAUUAUAUUCUAUAUUUAUUGUAUCCGUCCAGCAUCUUUUUUCUUUAAAAUGGUAUAAUUUAGGGAACAGUUUGUUACACGAAGGCUUUCCCAAUAUCUAGAUUUAGAGGAAAUAAAAGCACAAAAAUGUUCGUACUUUUGUUCGUUGCUGUUGAAUUAUAUUAACUAAUUUAUAUAAGUAUGUCAAUUUUAUGUAACAGGUGAUUGAUAAAUAUAAAGUAUUUUAAUCGAAGAGGUACGAGUAAAAGGGUGCUUAAUCUGAGACUGUUAUAGUAGUAUCAUGCAAGACUGUGUUUAAAUUGUCGUUCAAUUAAAUCAUAUGAAACUUCAAAUUAUGAAAGCAUUGAUGCAUAUAUUUUUAUAACUAAAUGCAGCUAGUUUUUUUAUUAUUGUAAAACCUAUAUUCAUAUAUUUUUUUCUCAAGAAAGUUCUUUAAUUUGUCCAAAUUUAGAUGAAAUUACCUGUUUUUGAAUUAUUGGUUUCCCAGAAAAUAACUUGCCGACAUUAUGUUCUCCGUUGCAGUGAUCUCAUUGUGACCUUUCUCGUAAUACCCAGGUGAUCGCAUUACGCUUUGGUCCAUCAUAGAAAUAAACUAUAUCUUAGUGUUCAUAUUAUACACGUGCUAACCUCAAUGUCCAUGUUUAUUUGUUGAAUGUUUUACUAAGAUGACAAUAGGUAAACUUUGGCUUCAUUACACGACAAUUAAUUAGCUGCAUAUUUUCACAUCAAAACAGACCGAGUGAAAUAUUCUUAUGACGAUUAUACGAUAUGGAUGCGUAAACAAUGAUAAAAUCGUACACAGAUUGAGAAGAUUAUGUUUAUAAUUAUAUAUACAGGCAUUGGUUCAAAAAUUGGAUGAACAUUAUUUUUCACCAGUCACUCGUUUCAUAUAAUUAAACAAAAAUGGGAAUAACAAAUGCUAUGAUCGUGCCCGUAUUCUUUAAAAAAUACGGAUACUCGAUACUAUACAUUCCCGGGAUUAAUGAAAUAAAAAAACAAUUCUGGCUUACUUUUAUAAAUUGUUACUUGGAUGGAGAGUUGUCUCAUUGGCACUCAUACCACAUCUUCUUAUAUCUAUGAAAUCAUAUUUGAGGAAAACGAAGUAAAAGAGGAAUCGAUAGUUUGUGAAGUCAAAGGGUAUAUAUAUCAUUUAGUUAAGUGCUUAAUGUACUUUUAAAUUCUAUUCUCCGCCAAAUCUGAUAUUGGAAAAGUUCCUUACAAGUGCUUUAGAUUAGUUUAGUUUUGCUCUUUUUCAUUAUGUUAACAUCUAUAUUGCAUUAGGUAUUUUAAGAUAGUUGUAUUUUAGCUCAUUAUUAAGUGUUACAAUUUCUUUAUUCAUUAAAGGAGCUAAUGGACAAUAUUGCGUUGCUUUUAAUUUAUUUAAAACAAAAGUAGGUAGUUAAUGUUAAAAUCAAUUAGUGCAUACACGCCACAUGCAUGUGUAAAAAAUACGUGUGUAGUCUACUUGUUCAAAAAUAAAAAUCAACGAUGAUGUUUCAACAGAUUAUCGGCAAUGGUAGGAGACCAUCCUCCGAACUUGGCGAUUUGGGUAUCCCGACGUUAUAAAAAAUCAGACCCGAGUAUAACGGAUUUAUCGUUAUUUUUUCAUAUUAUUCCCAAUUUUGUCUUCCAUUCUAAUUCAAAUGAAUUAUAUCAUACUAGAGAUCUACUUCAUUUCUGAUUAUGUAUUCCAUGCAAUCUCUAUCAUAAGUAAAACAUUACAUCCAACGUGACGUAUGUCGAUUCUUUGAAAGUUACGGACAUUCCUAUUGGUAUGAUGAAAAAAGUUACGGACAAGUUGUUUUAAAGUUACGGACAGCCUAAGCGUUUUUUCAAAUCGUGCUGUAAUCGUUUAUUUUGUAGACUUUAAUCACUUGUUAAGUUUAGGGGUUCCCUAAACAAUUGAUACAACUUUUUAAUUCAGUGGUUUAAUUAAUGCAUCCAUGGUAUUAUUAUUCUAUAGAAGAGAAUUCCCUAACCGACGCAAGGCGGCUCCAUCUUGGGCUGUGGGUAACUUAAGUUACCCACAGCCUUUUAAGCACAGUGAAUGUGAUAUAUUUCGUUUCAUUAUACUUUCAUAGCAGUCACAUAAAUACAAAUUGAUAGAUUUUCUUUUUGCUAAGAGGACAUACGUCAUCACCAAUAAAGAAAAAUAGUUGUCAUAAAAAUUCAAUAUCUAUCUAUGAACCAUGAACUCGAUAUCAAGGAAAAAUGAACCCUGCCAAACAGACAUAUCAAAACUGACUAGCUCUCAUCAAUAUUGUUGAACUGAAUAGCGGCAACACUUGAUUUUUCUAUUUAAUCUUAAUUUUUAACUGAAGAAAAAUUCGUAAAAUAAAUACACAUAGUACAUUAACUUCAUUCCCGGUUUCAUUUUCUCAAUAUGAUUUGAAGCUCAAUAGUUGAAAUGAUUACGUGACGAUUAAUGUUCAAAUAAUGUGGUAUGCACUGAAACCCUAUUUUUUCUUUAUAAAUGGACAUAUGUCACCAUUGAAUGUAAUGAAUCCUCCUUUUGCUUCAUUACACGACAAUUAAUUAGCUGCCAUAGUGCAUAUUUUCACAUCAAAACAGACCGAGUGAAAUAUUCUUAUGACGAUUAUACGAUAUGGAUGCGUAAACAAUGAUAAAAUCGUACACAGAUUGAGAAGAUUAUGCUUAUUAUUAUAUAUACAGGCAUUGGUUCAAAAAUUGGAUGAACAUUAUUUUUCACCAGUCACUCGUUUCAUAUAAUUAAAAAAAAAUGGGAAUAACAAAUGCUAUGAUCGUGCCCGUAUUCUUUAAAGAUCUUUUUCAUUAUGUUAACAUCCAUAUUGCAUUAGGUAUUUUAAGAUAGUUGUAUUUUAG